Molecule: ribosomal RNA, 1114 nt
Filed under: Vibrio sp. 799M
Lineage: Bacteria; Pseudomonadati; Pseudomonadota; Gammaproteobacteria; Vibrionales; Vibrionaceae
Description: bacterial SSU rRNA
Rfam family: Bacterial small subunit ribosomal RNA
Source: RNAcentral
CGCAGCCUGAUGCGCCAUGCCGCGUGUGUGAAGAAGGCCUUCGGGUUGUAAAGCACUUUCAGUCGUGAGGAAGGUGGUGUAGUUAAUAGCUGCAUUAUUUGACGUUAGCGACAGAAGAAGCACCGGCUAACUCCGUGCCAGCAGCCGCGGUAAUACGGAGGGUGCGAGCGUUAAUCGGAAUUACUGGGCGUAAAGCGCAUGCAGGUGGUUUGUUAAGUCAGAUGUGAAAGCCCGGGGCUCAACCUCGGAAUAGCAUUUGAAACUGGCAGACUAGAGUACUGUAGAGGGGGGUAGAAUUUCAGGUGUAGCGGUGAAAUGCGUAGAGAUCUGAAGGAAUACCGGUGGCGAAGGCGGCCCCCUGGACAGAUACUGACACUCAGAUGCGAAAGCGUGGGGAGCAAACAGGAUUAGAUACCCUGGUAGUCCACGCCGUAAACGAUGUCUACUUGGAGGUUGUGGCCUUGAGCCGUGGCUUUCGGAGCUAACGCGUUAAGUAGACCGCCUGGGGAGUACGGUCGCAAGAUUAAAACUCAAAUGAAUUGACGGGGGCCCGCACAAGCGGUGGAGCAUGUGGUUUAAUUCGAUGCAACGCGAAGAACCUUACCUACUCUUGACAUCCAGAGAACUUUCCAGAGAUGGAUUGGUGCCUUCGGGAACUCUGAGACAGGUGCUGCAUGGCUGUCGUCAGCUCGUGUUGUGAAAUGUUGGGUUAAGUCCCGCAACGAGCGCAACCCUUAUCCUUGUUUGCCAGCGAGUAAUGUCGGGAACUCCAGGGAGACUGCCGGUGAUAAACCGGAGGAAGGUGGGGACGACGUCAAGUCAUCAUGGCCCUUACGAGUAGGGCUACACACGUGCUACAAUGGCGCAUACAGAGGGCAGCCAACUUGCGAAAGUGAGCGAAUCCCAAAAAGUGCGUCGUAGUCCGGAUUGGAGUCUGCAACUCGACUCCAUGAAGUCGGAAUCGCUAGUAAUCGUGGAUCAGAAUGCCACGGUGAAUACGUUCCCGGGCCUUGUACACACCGCCCGUCACACCAUGGGAGUGGGCUGCAAAAGAAGUAGGUAGUUUAACCUUCGGGGGGACGCUUACCACUUUGUGGUUCAUGACUGGGUGAUC